RNAcentral lists this ribosomal RNA (497 nucleotides) under uncultured bacterium. RNAcentral describes it as "partial 16S ribosomal RNA". It matches the Rfam family "Bacterial small subunit ribosomal RNA", at positions 28 to 507 of the family's 1533-position model. The record is from RNAcentral.
GAUGAACGCUGGCGGCGUGCCUAAUACAUGCAAGUCGAGCGAACAGACGAGGAGCUUGCUCCUCUGACGUUAGCGGCGGACGGGUGAGUAACACGUGGAUAACCUACCUAUAAGAAUGGGAUAACUUCGAGAAACCGGAGCUAAUACCGGAUAAUAUAUUGAACCGCAUGGUUCAAUAGUGAAAGACGGUUUUGCUGUCACUUAUAGAUGGAUCCGCGCCGCAUUAGCUAGUUGGUAAGGUAACGGCUUACCAAGGCAACGAUGCGUAGCCGACCUGAGAGGGUGAUCGGCCACACUGGAACUGAGACACGGUCCAGACUCCUACGGGAGGCAGCAGUAGGGAAUCUUCCGCAAUGGGCGAAAGCCUGACGGAGCAACGCCGCGUGAGUGAUGAAGGUCUUCGGAUCGUAAAACUCUGUUAUUAGGGAAGAACAAAUGUGUAAGUAACUAUGCACGUCUUGACGGUACCUAAUCAGAAAGCCACGGCUAACUACGUG